This 557-nucleotide ribosomal RNA is filed under the name uncultured bacterium. RNAcentral's name for it is "bacterial SSU rRNA". It matches the Rfam family "Bacterial small subunit ribosomal RNA", at positions 102 to 694 of the family's 1533-position model. The record is from RNAcentral.
ACGGGUGCGUAACGCGCGGGAAUCUGCCCUUAGGUUCGGAAUAACAGCUGGAAACGGCUGCUAAUACCGGAUGAUAUCGCGAGAUCAAAGAUUUAUCGCCUGAGGAUGAGCCCGCGUUGGAUUAGGUAGUUGGUGGGGUAAAGGCCUACCAAGCCGACGAUCCAUAGCUGGUCUGAGAGGAUGAUCAGCCACACUGGGACUGAGACACGGCCCAGACUCCUACGGGAGGCAGCAGUGGGGAAUAUUGGACAAUGGGCGCAAGCCUGAUCCAGCAAUGCCGCGUGAGUGAUGAAGGCCCUAGGGUUGUAAAGCUCUUUUACCCGGGAAGAUAAUGACUGUACCGGGAGAAUAAGCCCCGGCUAACUCCGUGCCAGCAGCCGCGGUAAUACGGAGGGGGCUAGCGUUGUUCGGAAUUACUGGGCGUAAAGCGCACGUAGGCGGCUUUGUAAGUCAGAGGUGAAAGCCUGGAGCUCAACUCCAGAACUGCCUUUGAGACUGCAUCGCUUGAAUCCAGGAGAGGUCAGUGGAAUUCCGAGUGUAGAGGUGAAAUUCGUAGA